This 13035-nucleotide long non-coding RNA is filed under the name Gossypium barbadense (sea-island cotton). Its description in RNAcentral is "long non-coding RNA (GBAR_LNC017536)". The stretch from base 882 to 1004 matches the Rfam family "MIR7504 microRNA precursor family". Lineage: Eukaryota; Viridiplantae; Streptophyta; Magnoliopsida; Malvales; Malvaceae. The record is from RNAcentral.
CCAACAACAUGAUAAUAUAUCCUUUUUAUUCACAUUUGAAGCCUGGAGGAACCUCCUUCUGACAUGCACUAAGGAUUAGACUAAGAGAAACUGGGAUGUUGAGGUUGAUUCCAAGUACAUUGGCUUUAAUGGCAGUGCAAAGGCAAAGGGCAGCUUCCAAAUCAGCCAACCCUUGAAGCAAAGCACAGCAUUUGCUGGAAGGAGGGGUUCCAACAAUCACGUUGACAAGUCCAAGCACGUCAGCACAAACACCGAGCUUCAAUGUGUCCUUAGGGCAAGAAGCAGGGGUUGCUGGUGGAGGGCAUGGUGCAGGUUUGGGUUUGCAUGAAUUGCAAGCAGUGGUGAAUGUUGAGUGGAAAAGAAGAGUGAAGAGCAGAAAGAGGGCACAGAGUUUGUAGGAAGCCAUUGCAGGCAGGCAGGCAGAAGCAGAAGUGAACUGUAGAUAUGGAAGGAGCCGGUGGGUAAGUGUAGCACCAGAAGUAGCUUUUUUAAAGGAAAUUUGUGAGGUGGUUGUUUAAGGGAAUCUGAUUGAGUGGAAGAGAGUGAAAAUGGAUGAUAUAAUGUAGCAGUUGGAUUUUGUUUUAUUUUUGUAAGCUUGUGGGUAAUGAAAUAUAUGUACAGGUUUUCAGUCAAAUGGAAAAAUAUGCGUUCAUUAGCGGGGCUCUAAGUGGACGCAAAUACUGUACUGUAGAUUUUACUCUUUCUUCCUUUUAUUUUCAUAUACCAAAUUGGUGAGAAAUCCAAAGAGUAAAUUAAAGUACAGUAUUCUCUCUUCUGUGGAUUCAGCAGUGUACAGUUUGAAUUGUUGUGAAAUUCUGUUGCUUAUUUUUACCUCUCGGAUUAUAUAAAAUUAUGAUUUUACGUUUUCCUUUUUCCUUUUUAAUAGGAUGAUGAAAAAUUAAAUUUUUUCUCUUAAUUUUUAGCUUUUUCCUCUUAAAAGAAUUCAAAUCUAACUAAAAAUACUAAAAAUCAGGAGAAAAAAUCUAAUUUGUUAUUUUUCUAUUGGAAAUGGAUAGAUAUUACGUGGAAUCAUAGUUUCAUACAAUUCAUUCUCCUCUCCUAGAGGUGCUGAUGGUUGGCUCUAAUCAUUAUAUUAAUAUAUUUUAUGUUUGUUUAAAUUCGACCCGGUUUGAAAUAUGAGUUUAAGAUAUUAUCUAAAUCUGUCCAUAUUUGCAAAAGAUUAAUUCAAACCCAUUUUUAAAUUUUUUUAAAAUAUGUGUUUAUAUUAUUUUAUUUUAAUAUUUGAUAAUUUUAUAUAUUUUUAUUUAUUAAAAUUUUUUAUAGUCAUUUUAACAGUAUUUUAAUAUUUAUAUUAGAGUAGUAUUAUAUAUUCAGUAUAAAUUAAUUUUUUAAUAUGUUCUAAAUUACAUAAUAUAUAAAAAUAACGUAAAUAUUAAAUAUUAUAAACUUAAAAACGGGUCGGACCUAGCUCGGGCUUUAAAUGUUUAAGCCCGAGUCCAAUUCAUAUUUUAAAUAGGCCUAAUUUUUUUAUCCAAGCCCAUUUCUCGAACCUAAUAUUUUUACCCAAACCUUUUCAAAUUUUAGACAAACCUUCGAACCUAGACAAAUAACCCACCCAUAAAUAUAUUGCAUUCAUGAAUGUUCCAUUAAAUUUAAUUAUUUUACAUUCUAAAAUAAUAGUAUGAUGUUUGUAUGAUAAUUAUUUUGAGUCGGUAAGGGGUGAUAUCAUAUCUUCUUCAAAUGAUUUUAGUUUAGGCUGUGUUUGAUAGGGGGAAAACCAAUUCCAGAAUUGGUUUUACAGGUUUUCCAGUGUUUGAUAGCAGGAAAAUAUUUUCCUUUUGUAAAACCAAUUCCGCAACACGAGAAAACCUCUUACAAAUUUGAGGAAAAUGUCUUACGCUUUUAAACUCGGUAAGACAUUUUCCGGAAAAUGUCUUACGCUUUUAAACUCGAUAAGACAUUUUCCGAAAAAUGACGCCUUCUUCUCCCCUUUAACCUUUCCCUUCCCCUUCCCUUCUCCCUUCCCCUUGUGUUGCAAAUCAAUUUGGUCAAGGACUUCUUCCGAUUCCUCCUUAAUCCAGGUAAGGCUCCUUCUUCUUCUUCUUCCAUUCUUCAUUCCUUUUUCUUCUUCUGUUCUUCAUCUUCUCUUCUCAACAUAUUCUGUUUUGUUUCCUCUCUUUCUCUCUUUCUCAGGCAAAUUUACCAUGAAUUCUUCGCCGGGUCUUGGCUUAAGGGAUAUCUGAUGGAUUUCAAAAGUUGUUGAAGAUUGAAGAUUGAAGAUGACCAAGGUUCUGCUCAAGGGAUAUCUGAUGGAUUUCAAAAGUUUUACUCUGAUAGAUUUGAUCUUUCUUCUUAGGAAAAAGAAUGUAAAAACUUUGGUCCUCAGGUAAUAAUUGAUUUCUGUCUUCCCCAUCUAAUCUGGAAAUAGUACCGUGUAUAUUAGGAGAUAAAAUAUGCAUGUUUCAAUCUUUUUUUCUUUUGGCAGAAAGAUGGCGAUGGUGAUGGAUGCAGUAAUUUCCUUCAACAGCUGCCUGGAUCUCUGUCGGGGGUUCAGUCAUAUGAAGGUUUUGCUAAAAAUAUUGGCGGAGAUGCAAAUGCUCCAGUUCAUAGCAUGACACAUGAGGUAUGAAAAGAUUUGAAGUAGCCCUGAUUUAGAGAGAUAAAAAAUAUAUCACUGAAUUUCUCUUUAAACUCCCCUAACCCUUCAAUUGUGAUUGUUAAAUGCUGCCAUCAUCUUACUAGGUAAUCAUUUUGGAUUUGGUUUUAGCUAUUACACAAGCUUCUGAAUAUAAAAUGCUAACAUCACACAACUUACUUUUGUUUUUGAUAAAUCACACAAAUUACUAUCAAAUGAAUAUACAAGGGAACAUCUUUGUGGCCAAUGUCUAAUCCCUUGCUCAAAUUACCAGUGAUGCCAUGGACUUGUGAUAGUUCACUAUUUGUCUGCUAAGUGAGCAGAUAUGGAAGAGAGCAAAGCUCUUCCCCAAAACGUAGAUGGAUAGGAUAAGAUGUGGACUAGGGUAAUCUUUUAUAUGAAACAGAGUAUUCAUUGAUGGUUUAUUGCAUUGCCUAUAGUGAGAUUCAUAGGCAUCUUCACUAAAUGCAUAUCAUAUGAUAACCAGUUGGGUUUGGGUUAAGUCUAGAACUAUUUUCUACUUUUGCUUUGUGUAUUUUUUGGCUAGGAUGAGUUGUACAGGGCAAGUAAAACAAAUCUUUAGCUUCUGAAAAUUCCCUAUUUCUUUUUCUGAAGAAUUUUGUCAGCUCUACUUGAUUGUACCAAAGCAUUAAACUUGUAUAAAUAUGUGAAGCAAUGCCCCUAGAAAUGUGCAGAUGUUACUAUUAGCUAGUAGCUGCACUUCCUUAGAGUCUUCUAUUAGAUGUUUUCGUACCAAAGUUCAGCAGUAUAACAGUCUGACGCCAUAUAUUUAUUUAACUAAAAUAUGGCUUGUGAUAUUUUGCUGCAUUUGAGGUAAUGUUCUUAAUAACAUUAAGAAAAUGAUAGUAAUUAUCCCCUUUCUUUUUAAUGCAUAUUUAAAUGGAAAUGGUUUUUUGUGAUCAAGAUGAAAAGAAUGGAGCACAUAUUUCGAAGUGGCUAAGGUUAUCCAUUAGAAUGUAUGGAAGUUUUAAAGGAAAGGAUUAAACAAAUUAUACCAAAUGAUAUAACCCCUAAAUGAUAUAAUCCAGUUUGCAGCCUAAGUGGACAAUACCUCUGUCAAAAGUUCUAAAAGCAAGUUUGCAGCCUCUUUCUUCUACAGAAGGAGGAGUGCAGUUAAAAUUGUGAAUGAGAGGUUUAUAUUUGAUCGAUUUCUGUCUUUUUCUUCUAUAAUUUCCUGGCCGUAUGAUGCGGGGAACCUUAUUGAACCCCAUAUUCUUUUAGGGAAAUAUAGUCAUUUUUCUCAUGUUGUACUAGCUGAACUGUAUUGUUCUUUUAUAUAUGUGCUGCUAUAAUUUUACUGGGUUGUUAUACAUUAUCUUAACUCACACGACUUGUACCUGAUGCAAAUGUCUAUAUACAUGACAAAUACAUUCUAAACAUGAAAAUAUGAGUUGCAUUUUACUAAUAUCUCUUGCGACUGGUGCCUGAUGUGAUGUCCAUAUAUCCAAACAUGAAAAUGUUGGUUCCAAAUUACAUAUCAUGAAGAUGGUAGUUAUAUAAUUUUACAUUCAUGUGUUUUGGUGUGAUUGCAAAUCAAGGAUGGUUUUGCUGAGGGGAAAGACCUGGUUGUGCCUGUUAUGUCUGCAAUGGGGGAAGAGCAGAUCUGUGCUCUCAAAGACAUUGGUCCUAAGUAGUUUCAAAUUCAUUUAUUGCAAAUCUUAGAUGGAACCAUAAAAGACUUUGGCAAUACUAAAUGCGGUUUUGAUGUUUUGUUUUGGGUUUGGAUAGAAAAAAGAGAACAACAAUAUAACUAGUUUCUUGUUGUGCUAUGGAUUACUGUUUUGCUUUUCUUUUUCAAUAAUUUUUAUUAUCUUGUCUUUAUUUUUUGUGUUGGUAACAUUUAAAUUCUAGCUUUUAACUGCAUAUUACACUUGCAUUAGUUACCCAAUAUAUAUUAAUGUAGCAAUUUAAGUUUGACAUAUCAUUUAGUACGAGUUAAUACAAUAUACUAGUUUUUAAAAAAAUGAAAUUUUCUAAUAAUUACAGUAUUUUUAUUUUAAUUUAAAUCCCAUGUUAAAUAUAUGUAUCACAAGAAUCAGAUUGGAUAAAAGUAGAAUCAAAUUAAUAUAAAAUUUAAAUACAAAUAAUUUUUUUAAUAAUGAAGAAGUAAAAUCAAAUUGGUAUAAUCUAUAAAUAGAUGAACAUUUGGAAUUUAAUUAGAUAAAACUUUUAUUAAUAUGUAUAUAAAUUUAUUAAUAUAUGUAAAAACAAUUUUUUCGGAAAAUAUUUUCAGGAAAUCUGUCAAACAGCAGAAAAUAUUUUACACAGAUUCAAUCAAACACUAGAAAAUAUUUUCCAGUAAAUCAUUUUACAGAAAAGUAAAACAUUUUCCAGAAAUCAUUUUACGGAAAACAUUUUACUACCAAUCAAACAUUUUAAUAAUUUGAAAUUUUGAAAAUUUUUACCUUUUUUUUUUAUUUUGCAUAAAUCAAGAUGAAAUAACAAUAAAAUUAGUGGUGGAGAGCAAAGAUUUUUAAGCUGUUUUUUUACUCGUUUUUAGGCUUUGUUCUCUUUCUUUUUAAAAAAACAAAAAUUGAUGAAUCAAAAUUCUCUCAUUUUUAAUAUAUUCUUUCAAAUAACACAACAAUUUAAUGUUGUGUCUAUUAAUUACAUAUAUAUGAUUAGUUUACUAGAGAAAUGUAUUUAUGUAUCAAUAAAAUAAAAUACUAUAAGUUUCAAUUUUUAUGUAGUAAACAAUAAAAAAUAUAUAAGAAUAAAUUAGUAAAAUGUGUAAACGUUCAUUGAUUUUGCCUUCUCAAUUUUUAAAAGUUGAAAUUCAACUUUACUUACCGCUGGUUACAUAAAUCGAAAAUUUCUUACAUUUAUAAAGUCUUAUCUAGAGAGUAAUUCACUAUAUGAAUCAAUAAGUACAAUACAUGAUUUAAGUCUCUUUACUAAGGGUGAGUUUGGAUGGGCGGUGCAUUUACCUGCGGUUAGUGUAAAAACAGCGGUGACGGUGAGAUUAGAUACUGUAACGAUACUGUAGCGUGAGACCAAAAGUAAACUAAACGCACCGCACCGCACCCAAUCACCCAUCCAAACCCACCCUAAGACUUUCUCCUUGAAAACUUAGUUGUAAAUUGAACAAGAACAUUUUACUGACAACAGUUCAGCACUAAAAUAGGUCUCAUAUGAACAAGAUAAGUGAUCUCUUGAUCUCAUGCAAAAACUUAAACAAGUCUUUUGUUAAAUAGAUGUUUAAUGGAUUGCGCAAAUACAAUCAAUGUGAAUAUUUAAUUCCUUGAAAAUUGCUUACAGUUAAACUUUCAAUAUAGAAUAAAGUGGUAGAGAUCUUGAUAUGAACAUCCUUUUAAGUUCAAAUCUCUUCUAAUUUGGAAACUUCAAUCACAUUAAAAGUCUUCGUAACAUCUUUGUUUGACUUGAUUUUCCAUAUCUAGCCUUCACUGAAGUAUUAAAAAUUCUCCAAAAAUAUCAACCAAAUAUGAUGAAUUUUAUUGUUCCGUCACUUACAAUUAUAGUUACAUCUCUUACCCAUGUAAUUGACACUAACAAUAUAUUUUUAAGUAAUCUUAAAUUCUAAACCCCAUGUAAUGGCUUGAUUGUAAGAGUGCACACCGUCUUAGAUGUAGCUUGGAUUCGAAUCGAAUCUUACUCUAUUUUCAUAAUUCACCAUAUAAUAAAAUUCCAUAUUAUAAUCAAAUAAUUUAAAUAAAAUAAAGUAACAUAGCCGAUUGUAUCUAAAAUAAAUCAACUUACAAUAGAAUGAACUAUUCACAUUUUAUAAUUUAAAAAAAAAAAAACGCGUGAUCUAAAAUAUAAAUACGAAGAAAAGGGGCUGUGACUUUUCCCCCUAUCAAAUGGAUUCCAUCUCUCAGGGAUUGUGACAAUAAACAUGAAACGUUUCUUGUCAACUUGUCGUGUUUUGUCCGGUAUUGAUUCAUAUAUAUUUUUCAAUAAUUGAUAGCGUUUGUUGUAUGCAGAGAUAGCAUCACAUGCGAGCAAAUAUCAUUGCCGGACCAAAGGAUGUUGAUUGAAAUGGUGGGUGCCUCCACCUUCAUUGAACGUUUAAGCCCCUGUUUCGGUGCCUAAGACGUCUCUAUUUCGGCUUGUUGAGGUGGGAAAGUCUUUUAAAUGUUAUUUUCUGAACAAUCGUGUCGAAAAUAUUAAUUUUAGAGUGUUUAUACUCAAUUUUAGUUUCGAUUUUUUCUCUCCCUACUUUAUAGUAAAAAUCUUAAAGGAUUCAUAAAGUUUAGUGAGAGAACCUAUUCAAUUAAGGAAAUAUUUUUAGCAAUUUAAUCUCAAUAGGAUUCAAACACAUGACCUUUUAUCUUUUAUUGAACUCGGUGGACCUCUUUAAGUUCUCUUAAAAGGGUGCAAAAUAAACACCUAAAAAUAAUAUCUUCACCGGUCGAAGAGACUACAAAGCUCUACAAUAAGGAAAAGUUUUAUUUUUCUUCUAUGCUAGGAGCAAAGCCAGAACAAUAUUUUAGGGGGAAUGAAAUUUUAAUUUUUUAUAAUCUAUUACUUUAUAAUUUUUAAAAGAUUAAAUCGAAUUUUUAUAAUUUUGGGGGGUAAAGUGUAAUUUUACUUUUACUAAUUUAAAAUUUUAAAAUUUUUUAAAUAGCCUAAAUAACAAUUUUCCAUUUUAGGAGGGGUCGGGGCCCUUACCAGCCCCCUAGAUUCGCCUUUACUCUAUGCUAUAAAAAUUUUUUUCUUUAGAUAUUGGUUUCCUUCAUUACUUUAUAUAUUAUUACGAAUUAGUUUAAAAUAAUUUUAAUUAAUUUAAUUAUCAAAAUAUAUUUAAAUUCAAUAAUUGAAAAUACUUAAUAUUUUAUUUAAUUAUUUAAAAUUUAUAUUAAUUUAUUAAUUUUUAUAUUAUAUUAAAAAGAAUAUUUUAAGUAAUAAAUUAAAUAUUGAACAUAUGAUAGAAAAUGAAUUUUUAAAAUGUGAUGUAAAAAUAUUUAAUGCGUAAAAGAUAUAUUAUAAAAAGUUUCGUUGGCUACGUGUUUAUAUUGAUAGUGUUACAAAUAUUUUAUUAUUAUAGAAGUGAAUUUUUUUUUAGGAUAAGAAGUUUGGUAUAUAUCAGGACUCUAAUGUUUAUCAGAAAUAGAAUUUUAUAUUAUUUAUACUUCAUAUAUCCAUAAAUAUAGGCUUCGGAGAAGUAUUGUAAAUAUGCUAUUGAUUAAUUAAAAUAUGCACUUCUUUUUGCUGUGAUAUGUGGUAAGUUGCUCUAUAAUAGUAAAAAAUGAUAGUCAUAAUAAUUAUUCUCACCACUAGAAGUGAAAAAAUGAAGAUAAUAUGAAGACUGAUAAAAAGAUUGAUGUUGAAAUUCAGAUUAAUAGUUUCAUUCUAUAUUGCGACUUUAAUUGUUGUACAUUUAUGGAAUGAUUACGAACUUUGCUUAAUUUUACACAUAUAUCUAUGCAAAGUUUAAAGUGCAUUUAUUUGUAUGGUUAAAUCACAUGCCAUGGUAAACUAGAAGUAUAAUUUAGUAUUGUUGAAUCACAUUCACACUAAACUUUAAAGUUUACUGGUACAAAUAUAUUAAUUAGUUGGCAUGAUCGAUUAGAUCAUCUCAUUCAAUAAUGGCGUGCCAAAAUGAGAAUUUACAUAAAAAUUUUUCAUUUUUCAAGUGUUGCUUCUUCUCAAAUAAUAUGAAUUAUUAAAACAUCAAUAACAAUUGAAAGAAAUAUGUGCCCAUUUAUCCGAAAAUGGAUACUUUAAAAUAAUUUUAGUAAAUGCAUCUUGAAGAAGUAGAAUUAUCAUCGGUCUCUGUGAAUUCAACCCUACUUAAUAAAAUGAAAAAAAUAUGUUUUUAGUUAUUGAAAAUUUAUAAAAAUUUAAAUUAAUGUGAAUAUAUCUUAAUCACAUAUAUAUAUAUAUAUAUAUGUACAUAGAAUAGUUUUCGUCCUCUACUUUUGGUGAUAGUUCUCAGUAAAACAAGGUGGUGGCCGGUAAAAGGAUAAUAGGUAUAUUGGGUGGCUAUGGAUUGAGACAUGUGAACCAUUUGAACCAAGGUAUCUAAGGACCAGAUCUUCUUUUUCUCGCUUAAGGACCUAAGGACCAUAUCUAAGCACCAGUUCAACAACAACGUUUUUUUCCCUUUUAUUAUUCCUUUUUUUUUCUGAAUGUGAAUUUCUGAUCCAUAAUACACUAACCUUCUUUUAUGUUCUAUUGUCCAAAUAAAUAAAGGAAGAAGAUGAUUUUUUUUGUGAGGACCCAAGCCGUUUUACUUUAGUGGUGGUGCCUUCUUCUAAGCUGAUCAAUGUGAAGCCAUUUUCAGACCCACGACUGUUAGAUAACCAAUGUAUGUAUGUCGUAUAUGUACAUGGAUUCCACAAUCUUUAUGGUAUAAUUAUUCUUUAGGCUCUUGUAGAUUUUAAAUUAAAAAGUAAUUUAAUUCAUGUUAAUUUCGAAAGUGAGAAAAUAAAUAUAUUAAUGUUAAUUAUUUCUAUUAAUAGAUGAUUGUAAUAUAUGAUAGCGUGGAAUUGUGGUUGGUUGGUUUUUAAAAAACUAAAAUAAGUUAAUAAAAUAUUCGAUUCAAAAAUUUUCAAAAAGUUAUUUUGAAAAAUUCAGUAAAAUUUUCCAAAAAUUUAAAAAAAUUCAAAAUAAAAAAAUUUUGGAUUUUCCAAAAUUUUAUUAAAAUUUAUGUUCAAUAAAAAUUCAUCAAAAAAAUAUUUUUUACAUUUUAUUGUAAUUAGUAUAAUAUCAAUUUUAAAUUUGAAUAAAAAUCAUAAAAAAAUUUUGUUUAAAUAUAAAAAGUUUAAAUAAAAGAAAUAAUUUUUUAAAUAAAGGAUAUUACAAAAUAAGAAAAAUUUAUAAAUAGUUCAAAUUUCAAACGUUUCAAAAAAAAUUGAAUUUUCAAUUUUUUAUUUCUAUCAAAAAUUUAAUUACUUUAAUAAUUUUUAAUAUCUUUUUUUUUCAAAAACUUUAUUCUUCUUCCUUCUUUUUUUUUGUCAUUUUAUAAAAUUUCUAUAUAUUAAUUUUUUAAUAAAAUUUAAAAAUGAUAUUAUACUAUUUACAUAAAAUUUAUCAAAAAUCUUUCUUACAUGAAAUUUUAAUGAAUAUGAUUUAUUGUCCUUUUAAAUUUUUAAAGAAUAUAAAUUUCAUGUAUUGUUAUGUUCCUCCAUCCUUGAGACACGUGCCAACAAACCAAGCAUCGUUGAUCUCCUAUUGAUCUCGCUUGAGAAAGAGUUUCUCUUAACCACCCACCUUGAAAAGUUUAAUGUUGUAACAAUAAUCACAACGGGCAUCUCUAAUGCCCUAGCCAUUCAAGUUUUUAUGUUUGAAACCACCCAUCAAUUUCUCCCGUUUCACAUCAUUUGCAACCCUCAAAAGAAAUUGUCACAGUUGUAUGAGAUAGUCCAUCGAUCACUUCACGGAGGGUGACUAGAUGGACAUGGAUCAAACUCAACCUUCAAUUUUUGCAACCCAUGUGUCAUAAUUUUCCAAGCAAUCAUCCCCGCCGCACCAAUACCAACCUAUUCCACAUCAAUAUCAACCCCAGCAUGGGACUCAUCCUUAAGUAGGUGAUGAACGGUUCCGGCAGUAUAACCCCCUACAGCAAAGGGGCAGGUAGGUGAUUAAUACUGUAGGAUCCCCUCGUCAAUCAGGACCUAUUGGAUACCUACAAUCUUUGACUUUUCAAAGAUGAAUAGUGACAGAAAGUUGGCACCGAAAGGCACCGAAAGUAGAAAGUAAGAUUGGUUGGCAAGUUGGGUUAAAAGUUGGCAUGGGAUAAUUGCAAUUUUGGUCCCUAAUUGUAUAGGGACAUUGCAAGUUGAUCCUUAAACCUCAACUAUAAAUAGGCCUAACCAUCUCUUACUUUCUUCAUCCCACACUUGCCAUUCUCUACUUAAGGCAAUUGUUCUCUCUCCCUAUUUGUAAACUUUCGCUUGUAUUUUUGGAGUGAAAUAUAUUUGGUAGUGCCCGAGGACGUAGGCAAAAUUUGCUGAACCUCGUUAAAAUUCUAGUGUUCUUUAUUUUUGUUCUGCAUAUUUUGCAAGUGUCAUUGUAGUGAUUUAUUGUGCUAUUAAAUUACGAUAGAGGGAUAUUCUGGCUAGGAAAGAUCUGGUAUGUAAGCGAUCCUCGUGAUCCACCUCUCUUUCCUGGGAAUUGAACUUAGUGUGAUUUUUCAGUACAAUAAUUUUACUCUUUCACACGCUUCCGCGCAACAAUUGGUAUCAGAGCCAGGUUCGUACUUGGGGAAUACGACCGUUUACGGUACUAUUCACGUAUACAACACUAUUUACGUAUACGGUACUAUUUACGUAUACGGUACUGUUCACGUAUACAGUAGUUGGGAUUGAGGAGAAAAAUGGCAGCAGCAUCGUCAUCAGCAAGGACUACUGUGACAAAUGCAAAAUUUGAAGUAGAGAAAUUUGACGGUACCAAUAAUUUUGGUAUGUGGCAGUGUGAGAUCCUGGAUGUCUUAUGUCAGCAAGAGCUGGAUAUAGCCCUUGAAGAAAAACCUGACAAGAUGGAUGACAAGGAGUGGGCCAAGAUCAAUAGACAGGCGUGUGGAACAAUCCGCCUAUGUUUGGCCAAAGAGCAAAAGUACUCCGUCAUGAGGGAGACAUCAGCGAAGAAGCUGUGGGAUACAUUGGAAGAAAAGUUUCUAACGAAAAGUCUUGAAAAUAGGCUUUAUAUGAAAAAGAAACUUUAUCGAUUCACGUAUGCACCCGGUAUGUCGAUGAAUGACCAUGUGAACUCAUUCAAUAAAAUUUUAGCAGACUUGCUAAAUUUGGAUGAGAAAUUUGAAGAUGAAGACAAGGCAUUAUUGUUGUUGAAUUCCCUUCCUGAUGAAUAUGAUCAUCUUACCAUCACAUUGCUUCAUGGGAAGGACACGAUCACAUUUGAUGCAGUCUGUAGUGCGUUGUAUAGAUCUGAGACUCGAAAGAAAGAUAAAAGAGAUCACAGAGAUACAACUGCAGAAGUCUUAACAGUAAGAGGUCGUUCACACAGCAGCAAACCUGGUAGAAGGGGUAAGUCCAAAGGGAGACCCGCCAAAGAUGAAUGUGCCUUUUGUCGUGAGAAAGGGCAUUGGAAAAAGAAUUGUCCUAAGCUACAAAAGGGCAAGGCUAUUUCUAAUGCAUGUGUAGCGGAGCAUGAUGAGGAGUCAGACUUUAGCUUGGUUGGCAUGGCAAUGGCAUGUCAAACGGAUGAGUGGAUUUUGGAUUCAGGAUGUACUUACCAUAUGUGUCCUAAUAAGGACUGGUUUUCUAGUCUUAAAGAGCUAGAAGGUGGAAUUGUUCUUAUGGGCAAUGAUAGUGCUUGUAAGACAAUGGGAGUGGGUACAGUCCAAUUGAAGAAUCACGACGGCUCAAUCCAAGUCUUGACAGAUGUUCGCUACGUACCUAGCUUGAAGAAAAAUCUCAUCUCAUUAGGGGCCCUAGAAUCUAAAGGGCUCACAAUCACUUUGAGAGAUGGAUUACUAAAGGUAGUAGCUGGGGUAUUGACGGUGAUGAAAGGCACUAGAAGAAAUAACUUGUACUAUUUAAAUGGAAGUACAGUUAUUGGAUCAACAUCAACAGCUUCUGCGAAAGAUGCAGAUUCAGAGGCUACCAGGUUAUGGCAUAGGCGAUUGGGACAUGCUGGUGAAAAAGCUUUUCAGACUUUGGCGAAGCAAGGCUUGUUGAAAUGUGCAAAUUCUUGCAAAUUGGAAUUCUGUGAACAUUGUGUUCUGGGCAAGCAGACGAGGGUAAAAUUUGGUUCAGCAAUUCACAAUACGAAAGGAAUUCUGGACUAUGUUCACAGUGAUGUGUGGGGACCUACCAAAGUGGCUUCUUUGGGAGGUAUGCACUAUUUUGUCACUUUUCUUGAUGAUUAUUCAAGAAAAGUAUGGGUGUAUCUAAUGAAAAGAAAAAAUGAAGUUUUGGAUGCAUUUCUGAAGUGGAAGAAGAUGGUGGAGACUCAGACAGGUCGAAAGGUCAAACGACUUCGAUCAGAUAAUGGUACUGAGUACAAAAAUGAUCCAUUUCUACAAGUAUGUCAAGAUGAGGGCAUUGUGCGACACUUCACUGUUCGAGAUACACCACAGCAGAAUGGGGUGGCAGAACGCAUGAAUCGGACUAUACUGGAGAAAGUUCGAUGUAUGUUGUCCAAUGCUGGAUUGGGCAAGAAAUUUUGGGCUGAGGCAGUUACAUAUGCGUGCCAUCUAAUUAACCGAUUGCCAUCAGCUGCAAUAAAUGGAAAAACUCCUAUGGAGAUGUGGACUGGUAAACCUGCUACUGAUUAUGAUUCUUUACAUAUUUUUGGUUCCACUGCAUAUUAUCAUGUAAAAGAAUUUAAGUUAGACCCAAGAGCAAAGAAAGCAUUAUUCAUGGGUAUAACUGGUGGUGUAAAAGGAUACCGUCUCUGGUGUCCUGAUACAAGGAAGAUUGUUUUCAGUAGAGAUGUAACUUUUGAUGAAUCAACCAUGAUGAAGAACGAGGAUUCACAAAAGGAUGACAAAACCA